Molecule: long non-coding RNA, 3037 nt
Organism: Helianthus annuus (common sunflower)
Lineage: Eukaryota; Viridiplantae; Streptophyta; Magnoliopsida; Asterales; Asteraceae
Exons: 9
Source: RefSeq, a predicted model, not a curated record
AUUAAAUCUCAGCCACUUAAACUCAUAAAAAUAACCUCUCUAAUGGCAGUUCAAAGCAGUUUCCUGGGCCUCCACAUUCUCCUGCCCAUGUUCUCCCCAAUUCAUGCUAUGUGGCGGUUCUUAGCAGUUUUGAAGGCUAAACGCUUAAGUUCAUCCUUAUAAACCCCCCCUUCUACCUCAUGAAUCUGCGUCCUCUGGCUCCUUCUUCCCAUUCAACUAAUCUUUUCUCUCUCAUCCAAGCAUCUCAACAUCAUCUGGUAUCCAUUGCCCACAUUUGAAAAAUUAGGAGCCACCAGUGUUCACCGCCUCUACCACGGUUUACGAUUACGAGAAGUGAGCACCGCGAUACGACCACAAUCUGGUAAUUCGUUCUCUCCGGAGUCCGUUCUUGGUUGUUCUCCUGCCAUGGCUUGGAGCACAGUCAAUCUCUCUCACUCUUGGGCUUUCCGAAUGAAAACAAGUCGUCUGCGAUGCUGCUAAGAUCCAUGGUGUUUCUGAUCUUCAAUUCAAUUCAUCCAAUGAAGGAAUUUGGGUUGAGAAUAGGAUCAGAUGAAUCACCGAAGAUUUUUUUUUUUUUUGUGUAACCGCGGAAUCUGAAGCUGGAGUGGCGCAUAUAGUAUUAAUUGGUAUGCAUCAAAUCAUACUCGCCUUUUGAUGGUCUUGUCUUCGAUUUCGAUGAUACUUUGAACACUUCAAGCAUUGGAUUCGGUGAUCCCACUGGGCGUAACAUCAACGAGACAUAUUAAGAUAAGAGGCUAAAGCAUAGUGGCUGGAGUGAUGGAGUAUUAGUAAAAGUAAAUCAGAAAAUAAUAUCAUAUUGUAAUUUAUUUGGAAAUUUAUGUCUUUUUUGUGCAUCAAACGAGCUACAAAGAUUGCAUUAUCAAUGUAGACACCAUGUUCAAUUUUCAGUUUUGUUCUUCCAAAAUAAUGUUCAGAAAUCAUAUGUGCUGGCAAUAUUUUUGGUUCAAAAGAUAAAUAUCUAAUUUCAAUAUGGGGAAACAUCACUGAAGAUUACGAAGUUGUAUGCAUUAAAAAUACACGUGGAAAACUUUUGACCCCCUUUGGCCCGUAUCAUUUGUAUCUAAAGUUCUUAAAUUUUCCCCAUUUGACCCGUUACCUAUUUUAAUACAACUCGAACUGACCUGCUCAUAUGUAACUGGGUGGAAAUUGUGAUCCCUAGCUAACCGCAUCUCAGUUUUUCCUUAUGCAUUUGUAGAUUUUCUGUAGCUUAGAAAGGGAUGUGCAUUUGAUGGGUGGAAAGAAGGUGCUUUAACUUUCCACCAACUUACAAAUACGAGCCAAAAUUAUAUAAAUACUAUGGCUAGGAUCCUAAAGUUGGUAGGCGUACUCCCGCAUGGUUGCAUUGAUAGUAAUAGACUAAUAGCUGAUGGGUUCACAUGCUGAAAUACGAUAUCUGUGGAGCCGAAGCCAGUAAAGAAAGGCUCACAGUUUAACCUCGACAACGAUCUAUUUCUCCCUAAAGAAAGGAAAGACAUCAUCGUGUCAACUGUGUGUUGAAGUGCCAUGGCUGCUUAGCAAUAAAGCUACAACAAUUAUGGCAUCCCUUAUUGGGCCAGUUAAAAAAAUUAUCUUCUUUAAAAAAUUAUGGCAUCCCUUAUUGUGAUAAGAUGAUAUUGCAAGUCAUAUGUGAUGAAAUAGUUAACUCGAGAUAGCCACAUACAUAAAGAAAGUGACGUGACGUAUAGUUUGGAUCUCUAUAGCGGGAUCACGGGUUGUUCAUACACAACGGGAUUACAAACAGUAGUUAUUAAGCAUUGUAUAUCUAGAGUUGUGACGGAUUUAUUUACGAGACUGACAUGAUAUGUGGAUGGAACAGAUGAAGAAUUUAGAAAGCACAGUUGAGAGAGUGAAGGGGUUGCUAGAAGCAAGGAUAAAAAGGAAGACGGACACACGUGAGAGCAAAGGGUUUAGAGGGUUGUAAGCUAUAACAUUCUGCUUUAUAUAUUUGAUUAAUUUAAGUGUUGGCUGCAAAAUUUGUAAAACAAAAAGGUUUCAUAAACAUUUAUAUCUUUUUCUCUCUCCUUUUGUGUACACAUUGCCACUACAAUUACAUUUAAAAACCAAACCCACCUUAAUAUCAUAUUUAACAUGGAUCUUUUCAUUUAAAAAAUAAGGAAGUGUAGUUAUGAGAUUAUGACAAUGAACAACCCGUCCACCGGACGGGUAUUAAACUAGUUAAUUAAAGGUUAAUUUCACAAACAUAGAGACAAUGUGGUGCUGAAAAAUCACAGACUCAGAGGUUUUGAACAUCGAACUGGACCAAUUUAUCGAGGUUUGACCAACAUAUUGGUUUCUUCACAUGUUUCUUAUAAAAAAAGGAAUCUUUUUAUAUUUCGUUCAAGUGGUGCAGGCGUGCAAGUUUCUUAAUGAUAAUUCAAAAGAAUCACCAGCCAGGAUUCAUGGUUCCAUUGUUGUGAUGACAUCAGUGUAUGUCUACGUCUGUUUGGAAAAAUCCAAAACAGAGCUCAAUAAAAACAAUUACAAGGAUAGCAAUUGCAAAAGGAGAAGCAAUCCAUAUACAAACCCUCCAAUUGGCAUCACCACCCCAUCCAGCAGGAAGUUAAUUGUCCGAGUCAAUCAGGAAAUUAAAAAGUCAAAUCUCUUGGUCUAACUGAAAGAAAGAAAUAAACAACCAUUUGCAGAUUCAUAAUGCUUGUGCGUAUAUGUGCAGCCCUAUAUGUAUAUACAUGUAGAAAUAGAAACUGGUGUGAUUACACUCAAUUGUUAGGCCGAAAGAAUAUGCAGAAACUGGAAAAAUACGGUGAUUCUGUACAUAUGAGUGCUUGUAUGGCCAUACAUCGAAUCGAUACAAUCCUAAACUAACAGACACAAUGUUUAACUAUUCUGUUCAAUUUUGACUUUUCAUAAACACAGGUUUGACUUUUCUUUUGACUUCUAAUUAAACCAAUUUUCCUCGAUUAUAAUCUUCCAACAAAAUCACACAAUCAUUUUACUAAAGAAAAUCAACAUUCACAUAGGCAUAGGCAUCCAUGUAAGCAACACCUUUUACAAGUGA